AAUCUGCCCUCAGGAGGGGGAUAACGGUUGGAAACGACCGCUAAUACCCCAUAUGCCUAUUGGUGAAAUGAAUUUCGCCUGAGGAUGAGCUCGCGUCUGAUUAGCUAGUUGGUGAGGUAAUGGCUCACCAAGGCUUCGAUCAGUAGCUGGUCUGAGAGGAUGAUCAGCCACACUGGGACUGAGACACGGCCCAGACUCCUACGGGAGGCAGCAGUGGGGAAUUUUCCGCAAUGGGCGAAAGCCUGACGGAGCAACGCCGCGUGAGGGACGAAGGCCUCUGGGCUGUAAACCUCUUUUCUCAAGGAAGAAGAUAUGACGGUACUUGAGGAAUAAGCCACGGCUAAUUCCGUGCCAGCAGCCGCGGUAAUACGGGAGUGGCAAGCGU
This 385-nucleotide ribosomal RNA is filed under the name uncultured bacterium. RNAcentral's name for it is "bacterial SSU rRNA". It matches the Rfam family "Bacterial small subunit ribosomal RNA", at positions 123 to 541 of the family's 1533-position model. The record is from RNAcentral.